AGAAUCAACGCUGGCGGCGUGCCUCAGACAUGCAAGUCGAACGAUUAAAGCUCUCUUCGGAGAGUGUAUAGAGUGGCGCACGGGUGAGUAACACGUAAGUAAUCUACCUUCGAGUGGGGAAUAACGUUCGGAAACGAACGCUAAUACCGCAUAAUGCAGCGGCAUCGCAAGAUGACAGUUGUUAAAGGAAUUUAUUUCGCUUGAAGAGGAGCUUGGCGGCAGAUUAGCUUGUUGGUAAGGUAACGGCUUACCAAGGCUACGAUCUGUAUCCGGUCUAAGAGGACGGUCGGACACACUGACACUGAAUAACGGGUCAGACUCCGUACGGGAGGCAGCGAGUCGGGUAAUUUUGGGCUAAGUGGGACGAAAGCAGACCCAGCAACGCG
Molecule: ribosomal RNA, 386 nt
Filed under: uncultured soil bacterium
Lineage: Bacteria
Description: bacterial SSU rRNA
Rfam family: Bacterial small subunit ribosomal RNA
Source: RNAcentral